AGCGAGAAGCUACCCUUGUUCAAGCACUUGAAUAACUGAGGCAGACUCUUAGUAGAACAGAGCAGCAGGCAGUUUUUAGAGAGGACAUGGUUCGAAGAGACAUUGAUGAUCUUCAAAGAUUGGGUGGAGGCAGCCAUGAUACGAUUGGAUAUGAGUGAAUAUAUAGAGCGGCAAAGAAAGUAGUUGGCAAGAUUAAAGUGGAAGGUUAGUUUUCAAUGGUAUAAACCGAAUGUGGG
Magnolia sinica is the source of this 236-nucleotide long non-coding RNA. RefSeq lists it as uncharacterized. Lineage: Eukaryota; Viridiplantae; Streptophyta; Magnoliopsida; Magnoliales; Magnoliaceae. The record is from RefSeq and is a predicted model, not a curated record. The transcript has 3 exons.